UGGGGAAUUUUGGACAAUGGGGGAAACCCUGAUCCAGCCAUCCCGCGUGUGCGAUGAAGGCCUUCGGGUUGUAAAGCACUUUUGGCAGGAAAGAAACGUCGCGGGUUAUACCCGCGAAACUGACGGUACCUGCAGAAUAAGCACCGGCUAACUACGUGCCAGCAGCCGCGGUAAUACGUAGGGUGCAAGCGUUAAUCGGAAUUACUGGGCGUAAAGCGUGCGCAGGCGGUUCGGAAAGAAAGAUGUGAAAUCCCAGAGCUUAACUUUGGAACUGCAUUUUUAACUACCGGGCUAGAGUGUGUCAGAGGGAGGUGGAAUUCCGCGUGUAGCAGUGAAAUGCGUAGAUAUGCGGAGGAACACCGAUGGCGAAGGCAGCCUCCUGGGAUAACACUGACGCUCAUGCACGAAAGCGUGGGGAGCAAACAGGAUUAGAUACCCUGGUAGUCCACGCCCUAAACGAUGUCAACUAGCUGUUGGGGGCCUUCGGGCCUUGGUAGCGCAGCUAACGCGUGAAGUUGACCGCCUGGGGGAGUACGGUCGCAAGAUU
Molecule: ribosomal RNA, 547 nt
Filed under: uncultured bacterium
Lineage: Bacteria
Description: partial 16S ribosomal RNA
Rfam family: Bacterial small subunit ribosomal RNA
Source: RNAcentral